UCUCUCCCUCUCUCCCUCUCUUCCCUCCCCAGCUCCCUCCCUCUUCCUGACGUCUGCUCUCCCUCCGACGGCGCCUCCCUCCACUGCCCUCCCCUGGUCCCCCAACGCGCGCGCACACACACUGGCUCCGCUCGCUGGAGCCGAGAUGGGAGGAGAGCAAAGAGAAAGGAAUUGAGGGCAGAGGCAAGGGGUGGGGAGGGGUGGGGAGAACGCGGCGUCGCAGGCUCGGAAGCAAAGACCGCCGGGCCCCGGUCCAUCCGCGCCCCUCCGGUGCCGAGACCUACUUUUGCCCCCAGUGGCGUAACUGAGCCGGACAUAGGGUGGCAGGCUGGGCAGAGGACGAACCUCCAUCAAUUGGACAUCUAUCCAUCCGGAGGGAAAGCCAACCAACUCCAUGGCUUUGCGUCCCCGAAGGCUUGCCACAGAAGGCAGCCAGCGAACGAUCUCUAAGCACUCCGGGGCUCGAGGCGGAGAGAUGGAGACCCGAAGUGGAAGGGCAUUUGGGUCAAGGAAGGAAAGCUGUCCUCCUGGGGUAACACUGGGCAUUCGUCUCUGCAGGCAUCUGAGGACAGAACAUAGCAAGUGGACAGGAACAGACCGAAUACCUUAGGUCAGGGUAUUCUGGAAUGAAACAGCCUUUCCCCUUUUACUCUGAAUGAGUGCAUGCAGAGAUAAAAGAAAAUGCUAGGAAGAUGUCCCCAGCAGCUAACGAGCUCGCUUUCCUGGCCUUAGCUUACCUUGCCCUCUCCCUUUAAAGAUAAAUCUCCACCAAUUAGCUUGAGAGAAGCUCCUUCCUCUCAUGGCUAGUCUCCUACAAGCUACUCAGCAUCCCAGAUCCUAAAGCCUGAUGCCCAUUUGCGUAGCAGUCCCCAACACCAGCCAGACGAGGGUCUCCUGAUAGAUUUUCCUAGAGCAGCACUGAGGCCUAGUCCUGGACAGAUGGGUUUUUCUGGCGUGUCACCCGAACAUCACUAGUUUCAAACAUACCCCAUGUGACUUGAGUGAGCAUUGUGGAGCCGAAUACCACACCGUUCCAGUGCGCUUGCGCAUCCCCAGGACAUGCGCUCUCGUCUCUCUGCGAUCAUACUUGAGUAUUACCGAUCCUGCUUCACCUCCUCCGUCCAGGCCAACCCCACUAAAGCUCCUUAGCUCUGCUCACUAAUACCAAAGCUCACAGUUCUGUCUCAGCGGGCUAUCUGAGUCUCCUGGCCUCUCAUCACAUACCUGUUAUCACAGCAGGCAUCCUGAAGGUCAGCCUUCCAGUAUCCAGGCACUGUGAAGAGAAACCCCAUGUCCCGACAGACUAGACAUAACGAUUUCCUUAGCACAGGGCAUCUUCUUAAACUUUGAGCUCCUUGAAGGCAAGGACUGUCUCUGUCUCCUUAGUUAGGACUUCCUGAGAGUAAAGAGGAAGCUGGAUCUCCCUUCUUAAUCACUGAAGUAGCAAAGUAGUUGAAAGUUGGAAACGUGGAUGGACUCUGAAACAGAGAAAGGCUAAGAUUCUCUCCCUAAUGAUUACUACAGAGAUAGGAAAGAAAGGCCCUAACACGUACUUCUCAACCUUCCUAAUGCUGCCACCCUUUAACACAGGUCCUAAUGUUGUGGUGAAUCCCCCAAUCAUAAAUUAUUUUUUUCACUGCUUCAUAA
Molecule: long non-coding RNA, 1647 nt
Organism: Mesocricetus auratus (golden hamster)
Lineage: Eukaryota; Metazoa; Chordata; Mammalia; Rodentia; Cricetidae
Exons: 3
Source: RefSeq, a predicted model, not a curated record